Molecule: non-coding RNA, 91 nt
Filed under: Minutocellus polymorphus
Lineage: Eukaryota; Bacillariophyta; Thalassiosirophyceae; Cymatosirales; Cymatosiraceae
Source: RNAcentral
CAGGCGAGUAAUCCAGCAUCAACAUGUUCACCCGUGUUGGUAGGAUUGUGUCUUGGACUACGCUUAAUUGUUGGGUUCAUGUUCUAACCUU